GAUGAACGCUGGCGGCGUGCCUAAUACAUGCAAGUCGAGCGAACGGACGCGGAGCUUGCUUCUCUGACGUUAGCGGAGGACGGGUGAGUCACACGUGGAUCCCCUCCCUAUAAGUCUGGGAUAACUUCGGGAAACCGGCGCUAAUCCCGGAUAAUAUCAUGCACCGCAUGGUUCAAUAGUGAAAGACGGUCUUGCUGUCACUUAUCGAUGGUUCCGCGCUGCAUUAGCUAGUUGGUACGGUCACGGCUUACCAAGGCAACGAUGCAUAGCCGACCUGCGAGGGUGAUCGGCCACACUGGAACUGGGACACGGUCCAGACUCCUACGGGAGGCAGCAGUAGGGAAUCUUCCGCAAUGGGCGAAAGCCUGACGGAGCAACGCCGCGUGAGUGAUGAAGGUGUUCGGAUCGUAAAACUCUGUUAUGAGGUAAGAACAGAUGUGUAAGUACCUGUGCACAUCUUGACGGUACUGAAUCAGAAAGCCACGGCUAACUACGUG
Molecule: ribosomal RNA, 497 nt
Filed under: uncultured bacterium
Lineage: Bacteria
Description: partial 16S ribosomal RNA
Rfam family: Bacterial small subunit ribosomal RNA
Source: RNAcentral